AUUUUUUUUUUUUACCAAAAUAGAGAAGGGUGAAACCGUCUCUUCACUUAGAACACAAACCUCCAAAGUAGUUAUUGUUCAUUUCCCUCCACUAUAUAUACUAUCCCUAAUAAAUUGACAUUUUCUCACUCCUUCGCAGCAGACUGAACUGAAGGUGGAAGCAAUGGAAAUGCCAAUUUGCAAAUGUGGAACCCCUACUCAAAUGAAGAAUUUGGGACUAAUUUGUACCCGAAUAGACGAUUUCCCAAUCUUCAACGUGGAAUGCAUAUGCAGGGUUGCUCUUUCUUUCUUUAGUAUGAUCUCCCGAAUGUUUGAGAGAUUAAAGAAGCUAAUAUCUGGUCUUCUACGCUCGGGGCGGGAGAUGAGAAUCGAAAUUAGGGAACUCCAUACAAAUGGAAGUGAUAUGUGGAAGAUUUGGUUUUUGAAUUUGUUUGUGAAGUGAUUAUGAAGUAGAUCUGCAGUUAGAUUUGAAUAGAGUUGGUUAAAAUGUGUAUGGGUUCUGGGGUUUUAUGUUAGAUUCGUACUCUUUCGAUAUAAUGGUGUAACCUAAGUUAUGGGUACGAAAUGUAUUUGUAAUUUAUGUAGCGUUCUGUGUCAUCUUCUUGAUUUUGUUAUGAAAGUAAACCUAGUUAAGGCCCCA
RNAcentral lists this long non-coding RNA (640 nucleotides) under Olea europaea subsp. europaea. The record is from RNAcentral. Lineage: Eukaryota; Viridiplantae; Streptophyta; Magnoliopsida; Lamiales; Oleaceae.